Molecule: ribosomal RNA, 505 nt
Filed under: uncultured bacterium
Lineage: Bacteria
Description: partial 16S ribosomal RNA
Rfam family: Bacterial small subunit ribosomal RNA
Source: RNAcentral
GACGAACGCUGGCGGCGUGCCUAAUACAUGCAAGUAGAACGCACAGUUUAUACCGUAGCUUGCUACACCAUAGACUGUGAGUUGCGAACGGGUGAGUAACGCGUAGGUAACCUGCCUGGUAGCGGGGGAUAACUAUUGGAAACGAUAGCUAAUACCGCAUAAUAUUAAUUAUUGCAUGAUAAUUAAUUGAAAGGUGUAAUUGCACCACUACCAGAUGGACCUGCGUUGUAUUAGCUAGUAGGUGAGGUAACGGCUCACCUAGGCGACGAUACAUAGCCGACCUGCGAGGGUGGUCGGCCACACUGGGACUGUGACACGGCCCAGACUCCUACGGGAGGCAGCCGUAGGGAAUCUUCGGCAACGGACGAAAGUCUGACCGAGCAACGCCGCGUGAGUGAAGAAGGUUGUCGGAUCGUAAAGCUCUGUUGUAAGAGAAGAACGGGUGUGAGAGUGGAAAGUUCACACUGUGACGGUAUCUUACCAGAAAGGGACGGCUAACUACGUG